AUGGCCGAAUGCUUCAAUAGGGUGCUCAAAGGUGCACGUGGAUUACCCGUGACGGCAAUAGUUCAAUACACAUUUGACAAGAUGAAUGCGUACUUUGUAAAGUACUCGAUGGAAACCGAUGCACAGAUAGCGGGUGAGAACCCACGGAAGUACAAGUACAAGUUCCCACCCAAAGUUGAUGAAUGGUUGCUAUUUCAAUCACGGAAGGCGGACUCAGAAGAAGCUAUAUUAUAUGAUAAUGAGGAGUGGAAGUACGAAGUGAAAGAGCCAGGAGGAACCACAAACGAUGGCCGGCAACAUGGAGGUCGGGCUUUCAAGGUGUCGUUAACACAAUGUGAUUGCACUUGCGGGAGGCCAUUGUUGCUUCAUCUCCCAUGCUCACAUUUGUAUGCCGCCGGCCGCGUUAGGAAUGUGGACAUCAAUCACCCACGCACCGUGAGGGAGUCCCAGUUCUCAAUCAUGACGGUCAAGAAAACAUGGGCUCCCCGCUUUCACCCAUACUUUGACCAAUCACAAUGGCCGGAGUAUCAUGGAGUUCAACUAUGGCUGGAUCCG
This 555-nucleotide ribosomal RNA is filed under the name Triticum aestivum (bread wheat). RNAcentral describes it as "partial small subunit ribosomal RNA". Lineage: Eukaryota; Viridiplantae; Streptophyta; Magnoliopsida; Poales; Poaceae. The record is from RNAcentral.